Molecule: ribosomal RNA, 497 nt
Filed under: uncultured bacterium
Lineage: Bacteria
Description: partial 16S ribosomal RNA
Rfam family: Bacterial small subunit ribosomal RNA
Source: RNAcentral
GAUGAACGCUGGCGGCGUGCCUAAUACAUGCAAGUCGAGCGAACGGACGAGAGGCUUGCUUCUCUGAUGUUAGCGGCGGACGGGUGAGUAACACGUGGAUAACCUACCUAUAAGACUGGGAUAACUUCGGGAAACCGGAGCUAAUACCGGAUAAUAUUUUGAACCGCAUGGUUCAAAAGUGAAAGACGGUCUUGCUGUCACUUAUAGAUGGAUCCGCGCUGCAUUAGCUAGUUGGUAAGGUAACGGCUUACCAAGGCAACGAUGCAUAGUCGACCUGAGAGGGUGAUCGGCCACACUGGAACUGAGACACGGUCCAGACUCCUACGGGAGGCAGCAGUAGGGAAUCUUCCGCAAUGGGCGAAAGCCUGACGGAGCAACGCCGCGUGAGUGAUGAAGGUCUUCGGAUCGUAAAACUCUGUUAUUAGGGAAGAACAUAUGUGUAAGUAACUGUGCACAUCUUGACGGUACCUAAUCAGAAAGCCACGGCUAACUACGUG